GAAACUUAAAGGAAUUGGCGGGGGAGCACUACAACGGGUGGAGCCUGCGGUUUAAUUGGACUCAACGCCGGAAAACUCACCUGGGGCGACAGCAAUAAGUAGGUCAGGCUGAAGGUCUUACCUGAAUCGCUGAGAGGAGGUGCAUGGCCGUCGUCAGUUCGUACUGUGAAGCAUCCUGUUAAGUCAGGCAACGAGCGAGACCCGUGCCCACUGUUGCCAGCAUAUCCUUCGGGAUGAUGGGUACUCUGUGGGGACCGCUGGUGCUAAACCAGAGGAAGGUGCGGGCUACGGUAGGUCAGUAUGCCCCGAAUCUCCAGGGCUACACGCGGGCUACAAUGACCGGGACAAUGGGCUCCUACCCCGAAAGGGGUUGGAAAUCUCAUAAACCCGGCCUUAGUUCGAAUUGAGGGCUGCAACUCGCCCUCAUGAAGCUGGAAUCCGUAGUAAUCGCGUUUCAAUAUAGCGCGGUGAAUACGUCCCUGCUCCUUGCACACACCGCCCGUCAAACCACCCGAGUGAGGUAUGGGGUGAGGGCACGGACCUAGUGCCGUGUUCGAACCUAAAAUUUCGCAAGGGGGGGUUAAGUCGUAACAA
Molecule: ribosomal RNA, 594 nt
Filed under: uncultured Methanosarcinales archaeon
Lineage: Archaea; Methanobacteriati; Methanobacteriota; Methanomicrobia; Methanosarcinales
Description: bacterial SSU rRNA
Rfam family: Archaeal small subunit ribosomal RNA
Source: RNAcentral